Long non-coding RNA from Nematostella vectensis (starlet sea anemone), 476 nucleotides. RefSeq lists it as uncharacterized. NCBI's taxonomy places the organism in Eukaryota, Metazoa, Cnidaria, Anthozoa, Actiniaria, Edwardsiidae. The record is from RefSeq and is a predicted model, not a curated record. The transcript is spliced from 2 exons.
UGUUGAUAAAGUUUAGUGGCUAAAACCAAGAAAGAAAAUCGACACAUCUUAACACUUUUAUAAUAAAAAGACGUACAAACGAUGGACGGAAGGACAAACGAUGUGUUUGGAAAAAGAGGCACAAAAAUAACAGAUGUACAUACCCUUGACACCCUGAUGCUUCAAUAUGGGUCCAUGGACCUCAAGGAGGGUCAGUGUUUUUUACAAACCAUACCCAAGACAUAGUGUCAAUUCAAAUAGAGUAGUAGCCACAAAAACACAGUAAAGAAGGUUGAUAAAACUGUUGAGCCAAUAUUUGUAAUUUUUACCAAAUAACUUUUAUUACCCUUUUACUGAAAGAAAAUUAUAAAAAUCAAGAAAUUAUAGUAGUGCAAUGUGAAAAGAAGAAAGGGAAUUUGGACAGUGUAGGCAAGUAUGAAGCACAUUCACUGGCAAAAGCAAUAUGCUUAUGUUUAGAAAUGUGUUGUGAGCUGAUA